RNAcentral lists this ribosomal RNA (497 nucleotides) under uncultured bacterium. RNAcentral's name for it is "partial 16S ribosomal RNA". It matches the Rfam family "Bacterial small subunit ribosomal RNA", at positions 28 to 507 of the family's 1533-position model. The record is from RNAcentral.
GAUGAACGCUGGCGGCGUGCCUAAUACAUGCAAGUCGAGCGAACAGAUGAGGAGCUUGCUCCUCUGACGUUAGCGGCGGACGGGUGAGUAACACGUGGAUAACCUACCUAUAAGACUGGGAUAACUUCGGGAAACCGGAGCUAAUACCGGAUAAUAUAUUGAACCGCAUGGUUCAAUAGUGAAAGACGGUUUUGCUGUCACUUAUAGAUGGAUCCGCGCCGCAUUAGCUAGUUGGUAAGGUAACGGCUUACCAAGGCAACGAUGCGUAGCCGACCUGAGAGGGUGAUCGGCCACACUGGAACUGAGACACGGUCCAGACUCCUACGGGAGGCAGCAGUAGGGAAUCUUCCGCAAUGGGCGAAAGCCUGACGGAGCAACGCCGCGUGAGUGAUGAAUGUCUUCGGAUCGUAAAACUCUGUUAUUAGGGAAGAACAAAUGUGUAAGUAACUAUGCACGUCUUGACGGUACCUAAUCAGAAAGCCACGGCUAACUACGUG